AUACGGGAGGCAGCAGUGGGGAAUAUUGGACAAUGGGCGCAAGCCUGAUCCAGCCAUGCCGCGUGGAUGAUGAAGGCCCUAGGGUUGUAAAGUCCUUUCGGCGGGGAAGAUAAUGACGGUACCCGCAGAAGAAGCCCCGGCUAACUUCGUGCCAGCAGCCGCGGUAAUACGAAGGGGGCUAGCGUUGCUCGGAAUCACUGGGCGUAAAGCGCACGUAGGCGGCUUGUUAAGUCAGGGGUGAAAUCCUGGAGCUCAACUCCAGAACUGCCUUUGAUACUGGCGAGCUUGAGUUCGGGAGAGGUGAGUGGAACUGCGAGUGUAGAGGUGAAAUUCGUAGAUAUUCGCAAGAACACCAGUGGCGAAGGCGGCUCACUGGCCCGAUACUGACGCUGAGGUGCGAAAGCGUGGGGAGCAAACAGGAUUAGAUACCCGUGUAGUCU
RNAcentral lists this ribosomal RNA (440 nucleotides) under uncultured bacterium. RNAcentral describes it as "bacterial SSU rRNA". It matches the Rfam family "Bacterial small subunit ribosomal RNA", at positions 339 to 796 of the family's 1533-position model. The record is from RNAcentral.